UACGAAGGGGGCUAGCGUUGCUCGGAAUCACUGGGCGUCAAGGGUGCGUAGGCGGGUCUUUAAGUCAGAGGUGAAAUCCUGGAGCUCAACUCCAGAACUGCCUUUGAUACUGAGAAUCUUGAGUACGGGAGAGGUGAGUGGAACUGCGAGUGUAGAGGUGAAAUUCGUAGAUAUUCGCAAGAACACCAGUGGCGAAGGCGGCUCACUGGCCCGUAACUGACGCUGAGGCACGAAAGCGUGGGGAGCAAACAGG
RNAcentral lists this ribosomal RNA (253 nucleotides) under uncultured bacterium. RNAcentral describes it as "partial 16S ribosomal RNA". It matches the Rfam family "Bacterial small subunit ribosomal RNA", at positions 524 to 776 of the family's 1533-position model. The record is from RNAcentral.